GGGGAAUAUUGGACAAUGGGGGCAACCCUGAUCCAGCAAUGCCGCGUGAGUGAUGAAGGCCUUCGGGUUGUAAAGCUCUUUUAUCGGGGACGAUGAUGACGGUACCCGAUGAAUAAGCUCCGGCUAACUUCGUGCCAGCAGCCGCGGUAAUACGAAGGGAGCUAGCGUUGUUCGGAAUGACUGGGCGUAAAGGGCGCGUAGGCGGUUUUAUAAGUUUGAUGUGAAAGCCCUGGGCUUAACCUAGGAAUAGCAUUGGAUACUGUAAGACUAGAGUCCGAGAGGGGGAAAUGGAAUUGCGAGUGUAGAGGUGAAAUUCGUAGAUAUUCGCAAGAACACCAGUGGCGAAGGCGAUUUCCUGGCUCGGUACUGACGCUAAGGCGCGAAAGCGUGGGGAGCAAAC
This 400-nucleotide ribosomal RNA is filed under the name uncultured bacterium. Its description in RNAcentral is "bacterial SSU rRNA". It matches the Rfam family "Bacterial small subunit ribosomal RNA", at positions 356 to 773 of the family's 1533-position model. The record is from RNAcentral.